This 68-nucleotide transfer RNA is filed under the name Erimyzon oblongus (creek chubsucker). Its description in RNAcentral is "tRNA-Ser". The record is from RNAcentral. Lineage: Eukaryota; Metazoa; Chordata; Actinopteri; Cypriniformes; Catostomidae. RNAcentral also lists the same sequence under 1 other name.
GAGGGGGGCCAGAAGCAAUAAGUACUGCUAAUCCUUAUCAUCCGCGGUUAAACUCCGCGGCUUCCUCG